CCUGCACUCCACCCAGUGCCCGAAUGUGCUAUAUACAAAUACACUUCACAGCCUUUAAGGAAGGUGCAAGUCGGUGGCAAUUAGGAGAGAUGAAAGAAAGGGAACAGACCUAGGCAGAAAGGUGCUUUGCAACAGCAAAUUACUGGACACCUGUUUGUCUCAAGGAUAAAGAAUUGGGUAACCAUCUUCCUGAACUGGGUCACCACCCAAAAGAUGUGGCUGUUGAGGGCUGUGCAGACCACCUGCGUGGGAACCUGCAGAACUUCACCUCUUCCUGCAGUAUUGCCAGUCAUUUGCUUUCCAUGGUUCUGAUCUUCAGUGGCAGCAUGAAUGCCACUCUAGACUAUUUUUC
Molecule: long non-coding RNA, 352 nt
Filed under: Cavia porcellus (domestic guinea pig)
Lineage: Eukaryota; Metazoa; Chordata; Mammalia; Rodentia; Caviidae
Description: lncRNA (ENSCPOG00000035315.1)
Source: RNAcentral